UUUUGUCCAUCGGGAUGCCAUUUUUUCCUAAGUCGGCCUUUCGGGUUUUCAAAUUAGUGGGCUGUUAUUUUUUUGUUUAAUCCAUAACUUUUGCAUGGACAUUUAUUUUUUGGGUCCAUUGGGACAACCAUUUUCCCCUAGAUUGGUUCUGACGAGUUCCAAUCUAGCGGGUUUUGUAUUCAUUUUUUUUCUAUGCAUAAUAUUUUUU
This 208-nucleotide long non-coding RNA is filed under the name Lathyrus oleraceus (garden pea). RNAcentral's name for it is "Pisum sativum (pea) long non-coding RNA (PSAT_LNC024706)". The record is from RNAcentral. Lineage: Eukaryota; Viridiplantae; Streptophyta; Magnoliopsida; Fabales; Fabaceae.